RNAcentral lists this ribosomal RNA (414 nucleotides) under uncultured bacterium. RNAcentral's name for it is "bacterial SSU rRNA". It matches the Rfam family "Bacterial small subunit ribosomal RNA", at positions 29 to 490 of the family's 1533-position model. The record is from RNAcentral.
AACGAACGCUGGCGGCAGGCUUAACACAUGCAAGUCGAACGCACCGCAAGGUGAGUGGCAGACGGGUGAGUAACACGUGGGAACGUACCCCUUUGUUCGGAAUAACCCUGGGAAACUAGGGCUAAUACUGGAUACGGCCGGAAGGCGAAAGGUUUACCACAGAGGGAUCGGCCCGCGUCCGAUUAGCUUGUUGGUGAGGUAAUGGCUCACCAAGGCAUCGAUCGGUAGCUGGUCUGAGAGGANGGCCAGCCACAUUGGGACUGAGACACGGCCCAAACUCCUACGGGAGGCAGCAGUGGGGAAUAUUGGACAAUGGGCGCAAGCCUGAUCCAGCCAUGCCGCGUGAGUGAUGACGGCCUUAGGGUUGUAAAGCUCUUUUACCUGGGAAGAUAAUGACGGUACCAGGAGAAUAAG